Molecule: ribosomal RNA, 415 nt
Filed under: uncultured bacterium
Lineage: Bacteria
Description: bacterial SSU rRNA
Rfam family: Bacterial small subunit ribosomal RNA
Source: RNAcentral
GUUUGAUCAUGGCUCAGGAUGAACGCUAGCGGCAGGCCUAAUACAUGCAAGUCGAGGGGCAGCGGGAGUAGCAAUACUUGCCGGCGACCGGCGCACGGGUGCGUAACACGUAUGCAAUCUGCCCAUAUCAGGGGGAUAGCCCGGAGAAAUCCGGAUUAAUACCCCAUAACACAAGAAAUGGCAUCAUUUUUUGUUGAAAGCUACGGCGGAUAUGGAUGANUAUGCGUCUGAUUANUUAGUUGGUGAGGUAACGGCUCACCAAGACCACGAUCAGUAGGGGAUCUGAGAGGAUUAACCCCCACACGGAUACUGAGACACGGAUCCGACUCCUACGGGAGGCAGCAGUAAGGAAUAUUGGACAAUGCCCGCAAGGGUGAUCCAGCCAUGCCGCGUGCAGGAAGAAGCCCUAUGGGUC